RNAcentral lists this long non-coding RNA (389 nucleotides) under Populus trichocarpa (black cottonwood). RNAcentral describes it as "long non-coding RNA (PTRI_LNC004423)". The record is from RNAcentral. Lineage: Eukaryota; Viridiplantae; Streptophyta; Magnoliopsida; Malpighiales; Salicaceae.
GAAAAAGUGCGAAGUAUGCGCAAUGUCCUUACUUCUAUACUUGAGAUUGGUGUUGCAUGUUCAGAAGAAUCACCAAGAGAACGAAUGAACUCAUGCGAUGUUGUUAAGGAACUACACCCAAUCAAGCUUGCUGACUGAAAAUGGGAAGAAAUAAGUGCAUAAGGUAACAGCCUAUGUUACAAAAUAAUAAGUGCUUCGCUAAGUUUUUCCCGACUUUGUAAAAGAUCCACAAGCAAGUCUGAUUACAUUGCCCAAAGCUUGUGUUGACAGUGAAAUAGUUCAGGAAUCUGAAAGAACAGAAUAACCUCAGACAACGGGCUAGCAUUGCAGAUUCUUUCUUAACUCAUCCUUCACACCGGAUGCAGGAAUUGUGUAGCUUAAUAUGAAAC